GACGUAGGGCGCGAGCGUUGUCCGGAUUUAUUGGGCGUAAAGAGCUCGUAGGCGGCUUGUCGCGUCGACUGUGAAAUCCCGCGGCUCAACUGCGGGUCUGCAGUCGAUACGGGCAGGCUAGAGUUCGGUAGGGGAGACUGGAAUUCCUGGUGUAGCGGUGAAAUGUGCAGAUAUCAGGAGGAACACCGAUGGCGAAGGCAGGUCUCUGGGCCGAUACUGACGCUGAGGAGCGAAAGCGUGGGGAGCGAACAGG
This 253-nucleotide ribosomal RNA is filed under the name uncultured bacterium. RNAcentral describes it as "partial 16S ribosomal RNA". It matches the Rfam family "Bacterial small subunit ribosomal RNA", at positions 524 to 776 of the family's 1533-position model. The record is from RNAcentral.